Molecule: non-coding RNA, 47 nt
Organism: Angiostrongylus cantonensis (rat lungworm)
Lineage: Eukaryota; Metazoa; Nematoda; Chromadorea; Rhabditida; Metastrongylidae
Source: Rfam
CCAACGGCCCUCUUUAGGGCCACAUUCGAUGUUAUCUAUCUUUGAAU